GGGUUGUGAGGUUAAGCGACUAAGCGUACACGGUGGAUGCCCUGGCAGUCAGAGGCGAUGAAGGACGUGCUAAUCUGCGAUAAGCGCCGGUAAGGUGAUAUGAACCGUUAUAACCGGCGAUUUCCGAAUGGGGAAACCCAGUGUGACUCGUCACACUAUCAUUAACUGAAUCCAUAGGUUAAUGAGGCGAACCGGGGGAACUG
RNAcentral lists this ribosomal RNA (203 nucleotides) under Salmonella enterica. Its description in RNAcentral is "partial 23S ribosomal RNA". It matches the Rfam family "Bacterial large subunit ribosomal RNA", at positions 1 to 195 of the family's 2925-position model. The record is from RNAcentral. RNAcentral also lists the same sequence under 1 other name. Lineage: Bacteria; Pseudomonadati; Pseudomonadota; Gammaproteobacteria; Enterobacterales; Enterobacteriaceae.